This 173-nucleotide long non-coding RNA is filed under the name Bos indicus x Bos taurus (hybrid cattle). RNAcentral describes it as "lncRNA (ENSBIXG00005001489.1)". Lineage: Eukaryota; Metazoa; Chordata; Mammalia; Artiodactyla; Bovidae. The record is from RNAcentral.
CCUAACACCAUCUUCUCCUGAGUGGAAGCUUGUCUGGGCAUCUCUUCUAGAUUGGACACUCUGGGAGAGAAGGGUCACACCAACCUGUUCAGCUUUGUAUUCCCAUUGACCAGAACAAUGCUAAGCACACACUGAAGCUAGAGUAAGUAUCUGCUAAGUGAACAGCUUUUUCU